CCUACGGGAGGCAGCAGUGAGGAAUAUUGGUCAAUGGGCGCGAGCCUGAACCAGCCAAGUAGCGUGAAGGAUGACUGCCCUACGGGUUGUAAACUUCUUUUAUAAAGGAAUAAAGUGAGGCACGUGUGCCUUUUUGUAUGUACUUUAUGAAUAAGGAUCGGCUAACUCCGUGCCAGCAGCCGCGGUAAUACGGAGGAUCCGAGCGUUAUCCGGAUUUAUUGGGUUUAAAGGGAGCGUAGAUGGGUUGUUAAGUCAGUUGUGAAAGUUUGCGGCUCAACCGUAAAAUUGCAAUUGAUACUGGCAGUCUUGAGUACAGUUGAGGUAGGCGGAAUUCGUGGUGUAGCGGUGAAAUGCUUAGAUAUCACGAAGAACCCCGAUUGCGAAGGCAGCCUGCCGCAGCGUUACUGACGCUGAAGCUCGAAAGCGCGGGUAUCGAACAGGAUUAGAUACCCGGGUAGUC
RNAcentral lists this ribosomal RNA (460 nucleotides) under uncultured bacterium. RNAcentral's name for it is "partial 16S ribosomal RNA". It matches the Rfam family "Bacterial small subunit ribosomal RNA", at positions 338 to 795 of the family's 1533-position model. The record is from RNAcentral.